RNAcentral lists this long non-coding RNA (7538 nucleotides) under Salmo salar (Atlantic salmon). Its description in RNAcentral is "lncRNA (ENSSSAG00000105781.1)". The stretch from base 5687 to 5740 matches the Rfam family "UnaL2 LINE 3' element". Lineage: Eukaryota; Metazoa; Chordata; Actinopteri; Salmoniformes; Salmonidae. The record is from RNAcentral.
AAAUUGACCAAAAUUAGUGCUUGUUAAGUUACUGCCAUCAGAGGUAUUAUGAAGGUCAAAGCUAGAGCUUUCAAAUGUCUGAUAUUUAGAAUUCAAGAAAUAGGUUCUAGCAAUAUUUGUUUUAUUCCCUUGCCUGUUUGCCUGUGAGCCAAUGCCACAGAUGUUAGAAAAUUGAGACAAGAUAUUAUGUGUGUAGUAAAUCUGAGUAGGUUGAUGUGUGUGAUAUUGGAUGUGAUUUAGUGAGAGUGUGUAUGGUGUCUGUAUAAGAGUAAGACUAUAAUGUGUGAUGUCCAAAUAAUAAUAACUGCCAAUUUGGAUGGCUGAGUGUCUAUGUGUGUAACAUGUAGCGUGUAUAGCCUUAAUAUUCAUGAUGAUAAUUGUAAUCCAUGUCGUAUCACCAUCAUAGUUGCAUCAUAAUUACCUUUAACAUAAUUGAAAAACACAUCCCAGCAUUUCCAUAGCAACAUGAUAAUGAAAGAGAUCUUGCAUUACUCUAGAGACGGCUUCACUACAGUACAAAUGUAUUCCAUACAAUAUGUUAUUAUUCCCCAAUGCCCCUAUUCUGAUAUCUUCCCCUUGCUUGUUGUAAACAUAUAUAAACUUGUAGACAAAUACAUAAAGAUAGACAAACAAACAUGAAUUAUAAAACAGUUUGACAAUAUAGAGAGAGGUAGAGAAAAGAGAGGAGAGAGUGAGAGAAGAGCGAGAUCAGGUGUGUGUGUGUGUGUGUGUGUGUGUGUGUGUGUGUGUGUGUAUGUAUGUAUAAGUCCGUAUGUGUAAGCAAGCAUGUAAUUGAGUACGUGUGUGUUCAUAUCCACUUCAUAAUGUUCAGAUAUUUUUACAGUUCCCAUAGCUUCUUUUUUUCGUAACCUGAAGUCCCUGUAGAAUUUAGUACAGCCACGGUGUUAUGGAGCUGUCUCGGAAUAGCUGUCCAUCUAUAAAGAGUUUGUCCACAAUGAUAAAGGCACACCUACCAUCCUUCCUUUGUUGUCUUUGUACUGGAUAGUCUCUUACAACGGCCGUUUAUCUCCCUUGGAAACUGGUCAUUGAGACCGAAUUUGGUCCCUUUCAGCUCCCUUCCCCUGCUUUUGAUCAGCUCCUUUUGUUGGUAGUGUUCAGAUUUUGUGAUGAUCGGUCGGGGACCCUUGGUCUUGUCGCCCCAAGUCUGUGUACUCGGUGGAAAGCCACCUUGUUUACAGUCUCUAGAGGAAGUUUCAAGGCGGAUUGCAUGAAUUCUCUGAUCGCACCCUCCGGAUUAUUGGAUGUGUCGUCAGGAAUCCCAGGAAAAAUAGAUUUUCACGCAUGCUACGACUUUGUAUGUCUAGUAGCGACUCCUUCAUCACCCUGUUUUCCCUGAGUAGACAAUCCAUGUUGGAAUCGUGGAUUUUUACCUUGGCUGUGAGUGUCUUGUUUCCUCUUUGGAGCGUGAGAAUUUCACUCUGGCUGAACUCCAAACUCCCCCUCAGCCCUGCUACCUCCUCACACAACUUUUCCAGUGUUGCAUGGAUUCCAGCCAGAGCACUAGCCACUACCUCAAUGGUAAGUAAAUCGUCCAUGUCUGUAGAUUAAUGUUUCUUUUUUUUGUCGGGUUAAAAGUUAUUUUGUGAGGUAGUCGGAUCUUUCCAUGAUGGAGUAUGUUGUUCCUCCAUAGCGUAAAGCUGUUGGUACUCGUCGAUUUCCCUCAUGAUCUCCUUAGUAUCCAGAUUGGCUCUUUACUUCAACCAGUUGUUUUACGAAAAGAUAACAAUGAGUCUUUCCCACGACGACGACAUGUGUCUGUAGAACAACCAGCUAGCACUCACAGAAUCCACGCAAAAGAAGGAACACAAAGCAGUCCCAGCGGUAAAGGCUAACCGCGUUGUGGAAUCCUUAGCAACAAAACUUUAGUUCGGAUUAAAAUCGAUUUAAUGAAAAUGUUUUAAUAUAAACAAACCGAGUGUAGACAGUACAAUGUCCUGUUGCGCACUCUGAUGAUGCAUGUCUGUGACAUAUCUGGAUUGGUGUUGAUUCCAGAUGUGUUGUGUUGUGUUGUUGCCAACCCUUAACACCUGGGGGUGACCCGUCAGGAAAUCCAGCAUCCAAUUGCAGAGGGAGGUGUUUAGUCCCAGGUUCCUUAGCUUAGUGAUGAGCUUUUUGGGUACUAUGGUAUUGAAUACUGAGCUGUAGUCAAAGUGGGGAGUGCGAUUGAGAUUGCGUCAUCUGUGGAUGUAUGCGAAUUGGAGUGGGUCUAGGGUUUCCAGGAUGAUGGUGUUGGUGUUGAUGUGAUUCAUGACCAGCCUUUCAAAGCACUUCAUGGCUACUGACGUGAGUGCUACAGGCAGGUUACCUUCGCUUUCUUGGGCACAGGGACUAUGGUAUUACAUGUAGGUAUUACAGACUCGGUCAGGGAGUGGUUGAAAAUGUCAAUGAAGACAUUUGCCAGUUGGUCCGCACAUGCUUUGAGUACACGUCCUGGUAAUCCAUCUGGCCCUGUGGCUUUGUGAAUGUUGACCUGUUUAAAAGGACUUGCUCACAUCGGCUACGGAGAGCGUGAUCACAGUCGUCCAGAACAGCUGGUGUUCUCAUGCAUGCUUCAGUGUCGCUUGCCUCGAAGCGAGCAUAUAAGGUAUUUAGCUCAUCUGGUAGGCUGGGUUUCCCUUUGUAGUCCGUAAUAGUUUGCAAGCCCUGCCACAUCCGACGAGCGUCAGAGCCAGUGUAGUAGGAUUCAAUCUUAGUCCUGUAUUGACACUUUGUCUGUUUGAUGGUUCGUCUGGGGGCUUAGAGGAAUUUCUUAUAAGCGUCCGGAUUAGUGUCCCGCUCCUUGAAGGUGGCAGCUCUCACCUUUUGCUUGAUGCGGAUGUUGCCUGUAAUCCAUGGUGUCAUGUUGGGAUAUGUACGUACACACACUGUGGGGACAACAUCCUCGAUGCACUUUUUGAUAAAGCCGGUUGACUGAGAUGGUAUACUCCUGAAUGCCAUUGGUUGAAUCACGGAACAUAUUCCAGUUUGUGCUAGAAAAACAGUCCUGUAGCGUAGCAUCUGCGGUAUCUGACCAGUUUUGUAUUGAGCGAGUCACUGGUAGUUCCUGCUUUAGUUUUUGCUUGUAAGCAGGAAUCAGGAGGAUAGAAUUAUGGUCAGAUUUGCCGAAUGGAGGGCAAGGGAGAGCUUUGUAUGCGUCUCUGUGUGUGGAGUAAAGGUGGUCUGGAGUGGUUGAUCAUUGCUAUACAACCAUUUUCAGGCCUUGCCAUAGUUUUGACUUAAAUCUACCUCGGCCACUCAGGAAUAUCCACUGUCUUCUUGAUAAGCAACUUCAGUGUAGAUUUUGCCUUGUGUUUUAAGUUAUUGUCCUGCUGAAAGGUGAAUUCAUCGUCUGGUGGAAAGCAGACAACCAGGUUUUCCUCUAGGAUUUUGCCUGUGCUUAGCUCCAUUCUGUUUCUUUUUUAUCCUGAAAAACAGCCUGAUUACAAGCAUACCCAUAACAUAACAUGAUGCAGCCACCACUAUGCUUGAAAAUAUGGAGAAUGGUAUUCAGUAAUGUGGUAUAUUUGCCCCAAACAUAACACUUUGUAUUCAGGAUAAAAAGUGAAUUGCUUUGCCACAAUCGUUGCAGUAUUAUUUGUGUGCCUUUUGCAAACAGAAUGCAUGUUUUGGAAUAUUCUUUAUUCUGUACAGGUUUCCUUAUUUUCACUCUGUCAAUUAGGUUAGUUUUGUGUAGUAACUACAAUGUUGAUCCAGCCUCAGUUUUCUCCUAUCACAGCCAUUAAACUAUAACAAUUUUAAAGUCACCAUUGGGCUCAUGGUGAAAUUCCCUGAGUGGUUUCCUUCCUCUCCGGCAACUGAGUUAGGAAGGACGCCUGUAUCUUUGUAAUGUAUUGAUAGACCAUCCAAAGUGAAAUGACUAACUUCACCAUGCUCAAAAGGAUAUUCAAUGUUUGCUUUUUUUUACCCAUCUACCAAUAAGUGCCCUUCUCUGUGAGGCAAUGGUAAACAUCCCUGGUGUUUAUUUGACAUUUACUGCUCGACUGAGGGACCUUAUAGAUUAUUGUAUUUUUUGGGGUACAGAGAUGAGGUAGUCAUUCAAAAAUUAAGGUAAACACUAUUAUUGCACACAGAGUGAGUCCAGGCAACUUAUUAUGUGACUUGUUAAGCAAAUGUUUACUCAGGAACAAAUGGGUUGAACAGACAUUUCAACUUUAAAAAUGUUUCAUUAAUUAGUAACAAUUUUGAAAACAUAAUUUAACUUUGACAUUAUGGGGUAUUGUGUGUAGGCCAGUGACAAAAACAUCUCAAUUAAAUAAAUAAUAAUUCAGGCUGUAACAAAAUGUUUUGGGGAAAAAGUCAAGGGGUGUGAAUACUUUCUGGAGGCACUACACACACAACUGAAAAUAAUAGCCGUAUUGCAUGUGGAAUAAGAUAAUAAUAAUUAUUGUUUAUAAGUGUUUUUCCAGAAACAGUCAAUGUGCCCCAUCUUUUCUCUCAGACCAAAUAAAAUCAUAAUAUCAAAAUUCUAACAGUCUGUUCCUGUCCCUGUUACCUGAGGUUGAUGGUUUGGGGUGCAACAAGGGAGUCCCUCUCUGAGUGAGAGCUGGGGUGUCUGCCCCUCCUCCCUGAGUGGAACGUCCUGCCUCCCUUCCACUGGUGCUGUGGGUCGCUUCACUCAGACCCUCCUGGAAAGAGAGAAGAGGAGAGUUCAAACUGACCACUUGGUCUUUGCUUUGUAGCAUCAUUAAUGAAAAUAUCUUGUGUGUUGUGUGGGCUCCUGAGUUGCGUAGCGGUCUAAGGCACUGCAUCUCAGUGCCAGAAGCGUCACUACAGACCUGGUUCGUUUCCAGGCUGUAUCACAACCGGCCGUGAUUAGGAGUCCCAUAGGGCGGCGCACAAUUGGCCCAGCGUCGUUCGGGUUAGGGCUUGGCCGUCAUUGUAAAUAAGAAUUUUUUGUUCUUAAUGUUCUUAACUGACUUACCUAGUUAAAUAAAAGGUAAAAUAAAAAUUUCUGAUCAAUUUGAUGUUAUUUUAAAUGGACAAAAAAAGUGAUUUUCUUUCAAAAACAAGGACAUUUGUAAGUGACCACAAUCUUUUGAAAGGUAAUGUACAUUUUGGGGAGAAUCUGGGAAAUCCUAUAUCAGGCGUAUGGUAUUUUCUCAAUAGAAAUGACGCGAGGCAAGAGCAGAGAUCAGCUUCUCAUUAGCUAGCUAACAUUAGCUUUAUUAUAUCUAUAUAGUGUUAGGUGUACUGUUGUUUUGAAAUAACAUUCUUUAUAUUGAUUUGAUUGUAUACAUAGUCUUAGCAAGCUCUUUGGCAGCAAGCUAAGCAUUUUUAGCUAUAAUAUUUAGCUAGCUAGCUUGCUUUGCAAAUGUUAGCCUAGUUAGCAUCAAGUGUUAUAGAAAAAUGGCCGUAGAAGCAACUCUAGCUUAGUUUAGAAGAAAGACUGACUUUUCAAUUCAUUUUGAUGCACCUGUAGAACAAGGAGCUAGUUAGCAAAGAUUUUUAUCUGUGCCCUUGGUGUACAACAGCUUCUAUGUACAACAAACUCCCUCACGAUGCCAGGACAGCGGAGUCAAUCACCACCUUCCGGAGACACCUGAAACCCCACCUCUUUAAGGAAUACCUGGGUUAGGAUAAAGUAAUCAUUCUAACCCCCCCCCCCACAAAAAAAGAUAUAGAUGUACUAUUGUAAAGUGGUUGUUCCACUGGAUAUCAUAAGGUGAAUGCACCAAUUUGUAAGUCGCUCUGGAUAAGAGCGUCUGCUAAAUGAUGUAAAUGUAAUACCCAUGACAGAUAAUGCCAUCAUGGUUUGAUAGGCCUGAGACCCCAGUGCAGCUCAAUGUAAACAAGUGUAAUGGAAGGGUGGGAAUCUUCCGGCUAGCGUAGCAUGGACAAACCUAACACAAAUUAAAGUUUAUGUAGUUGCCAUAAUAUUUGAAGAUGGGGAUUGGACCACUCAUCCGGAUAAACAUUAGCUAGUUAUCGGUAAAGCUGUCUAACGUUAACAGUUAGCUAGCUGAUAUGCUCAGUGUCUGCUUGUGCCAUUUGCACCAUGAUACACCUGCACACACCCCUAGUAUGACUUCAAGGAUUUGAAGACCUAUUUCUCAAAGAUGGAAUGGACCGGUCUAGUGAAAUGUGAGAGAGUGCACUACAGAAACUUGAAGAGGAACCACCUGGCUAUAGGGCUGAACUCCCCAGUACCUGCUUUUAUGAGGAGAGGCAGAUUUAAACUGGUGAACAAUGCUCAGCUUCUCGCACCCAGUGACUCCGAGGAGGAUGAGUGGACCCCUCGCCUGGAGAGAUGCUGGAGUUAUGUAGUGAAAGCAGAGGGAAAAAUAAGCUUUUGGAAUGAAAGAGGCUCUGACAAGAUUGAAAGAAGAGGAGGAUGUUACAGUGAAAGAGGGGGAGGAAGAGAACUGUCACAGUGAAAGAGGAGAUUGGAGGUCUGAUUAACACCAGGACACCUCGGAGCUUCCGACCCUCUGCAGCGUCUCAAGGAGCCCCUCAGCCUGACAAACUGGCUACACCUACAGUACAGCAGCCCCCCAGCGGUGAGGAGGCAGGACCCAGGAACAUGGGGACAGAACCACCCCAGCCAUUCCUGGAGGAGCUGACUGAAGAAGUGGCCUUCCUCAGAGACGUUAGCACAGCGGACACACACAGUGGAGAACAGGAGGGGCUAGGAGACAAGCGGCGAUCGGAGCUAGCGACAAAACAACAAGAGCCAACAGCAACACAGCUGAUAACACUGUUGAAGACAUGGACCAUACAGAGUCACAUCUAGGUUAGGGAAAUGAGCCCAAUAGCAUAUUUGUAAAAAAAUAUAUAUAUAUAUAUAUAUUUUAAACAUAUUGGACUAUGUAUAUAGACUAUGCAUGGUCCAUAUAAUCAGGUAUGCUAUUAGCAAUAAGCAUUAUCACCUGUAGCCCAACUGGUGCAGUAUAUGGAUGCCCAUCUGCAUUUACCAUGGGCUAAUCACAGUGUUAGGGAAGCUACUCUGAAAAUAUAGUUUACCAAGCUACCAAUUACUUCACACUGGAACAAGUUAAGAUGCACUAAAGCUACCCUUAAGAAAAACACUGGCUAAUCAUUAGCUAAUCCCUAGUUGGCAUGUAUUGAUGAAUGUAAACAUGAAAACACAUGAAUAAGCUAUUUGGCUUCAGAUAUUCGAACACAAGAAGCAGUGCCACUCAUAGUCCUAGAUAUACCAAGAACUGUAUAAAACCUUACAGACAGAAUAACACAAUAUAAAAUGAACAAGGGAAACUUAUUUUUAGGCGAAGGUGUCUGAGUGUAAUCAUGUUUGCCAUAUUGUAUUCUGAAUAAAAUUGAUUUACACCAAAACAGUCUUUAUGGUCAUUAGUAUUAUGGGAGCCAUAUUGGAUUUUGAACGCCAUAAUGGAUUUGAGGCUAAAUCCAGUGCGGACCCAAAGAUAAUCUGUGGUGGCCCCAUGACUAAAUUCCAAAUGUAGAGGCUAAAGAUAAAAAAAAUCCUUCAAGGAACCUUAGACCCCAAAAAAUAUAUAAUUCCAAUGUCUGAGCCCACUUGUUUUCCUUAGAGCUGAUUCCAA